AGGAUUGUGGCUCAGUGAUAGAGUGCUUGCUUAGCAUGCAUGAAGUACAAGGUUCAAUUCCUCAGUACCA
Molecule: transfer RNA, 70 nt
Filed under: Dipodomys ordii (Ord's kangaroo rat)
Lineage: Eukaryota; Metazoa; Chordata; Mammalia; Rodentia; Heteromyidae
Rfam family: tRNA
About the family: Transfer RNA (tRNA) molecules are approximately 80 nucleotides in length. Their secondary structure includes four short double-helical elements and three loops (D, anti-codon, and T loops).
Source: Rfam by way of RNAcentral